GACGAACGCUGGCGGCGUGCUUAACACAUGCAAGUCGAGCGGUAAGGCCCUUUCGGGGGUACGACGAGCGGCGAACGGGUGAGUAACACGUGGGUGACCUGCCCUCAGCUCUGGGAUAAGCCUGGGAAACUGGGUCUAAUACUGGAUAUGACUCCACGGUGCAUGUCGUGGGGUGGAAAGCCUUGUGCGGCUGAGGAUGGGCCCGCGGCCUAUCAGCUUGUUGGUGGGGUGANGGCCUACCAAGGCGACGACGGGUAGCCGGCCUGAGAGGGCGACCGGCCACACUGGGACUGAGACACGGCCCAGACUCCUACGGGAGGCAGCAGUGGGGAAUCUUGCGCAAUGGGCGAAAGCCUGACGCAGCGACGCCGCGUGAGGGAUGACGGCCUGGUU
This 393-nucleotide ribosomal RNA is filed under the name uncultured bacterium. RNAcentral describes it as "bacterial SSU rRNA". It matches the Rfam family "Bacterial small subunit ribosomal RNA", at positions 28 to 424 of the family's 1533-position model. The record is from RNAcentral.